UAUCAAACAAAGCAGAUACUUAACAAUAUAACAACAACAGUGCAGUAGCAGACGAUUUUAGGUUAGCAGACGGCGCAUCCUAAUAAGCUGAGCACGCGCACACUUUGCUAGGAAUUGCGUAAAUUUUAGAAAUUUGUUGAGAUUUAGACUUUUUUUAGAAAAUAAAUUUCCAGUUAUCCAACCCAGAAAAUACUUGUUUGAUAUUUUGGAUUUAGUCUUUGUAAAAUAUAUGUCUUAUACAUGGUAAGUUUGAAAAUAAAAAUCUUCGUAAGGCAUCAGAAAUCUCGACCCUCGCUGACCGGAAAUCCAAGAUGGUGCAGACCACUGGAAUCAAGAAAUCGGAGCCCUUAGUACAUGUAUUUGCAAAGAUUUUAAAUGGAUGAAGAAAGAAAAAGACGUGAAGAACUUGAAAAGAUCCUUGAAGAAAAUAACAGGAAAAGUGAAGAUGCUAAAAAAAAAAUGGCAGAGGAAAGGUUAGCAAUGGUGGAGGAACAACGCAGAAUUGAUGACGAGGGCCAGAGACUACAGAAAGAACUAGAGAAAAAAAUAAAACAGGAACAACACAUAAUUCUUAAUAAAGGACAAGUUAGACUAAGAUUAGCAUUUUCUCUGAAACCCACCUGAGAUUAAGUUGAAAAAAGUAAAAAAUUGCAGCAUUAAAGUUUGUGGAUUCAAAUAACUAGGUGGAUUUAUACUUUAAAGAACUCUUUCUUCCCCCCCAACCACUUUUUUUUCAGUAGAAAUUUUAAUAAUAGGGCAUGAAACAAAUGGUUAUAUUUAACUCUUGACAUUCAGCUCCAUGAAGAUCAACGUGAUUUUACCUUAGUAUGCUGUAUCAGUUGAUAUAUUUUAUACAUAGAGCUCUUUUUCUAAAUCGUACAUAUUUAGCUACCCAAUUACUUUGGUUUAAAGUUUCAAUCAUGGUAAAAUAAAAAUAACAUUGCUGGUUUUUCAGUCUUCAAGCUACACGAUAUUUCUUCACACAUUCUCACACCCAUUUAUAUAGGCCUCCUUUUGUGUGUGUGUGUAGAAAAAUCAUUCUACAGAAAAUAUACUGAGGUUAGACUGUAACUAUGAAUUUAAAAACAUUCACUGUUUACAAUAGUUACUUCUUGUGACUAAGUUUUGCAAGUUUGACUGACAUUAUAUACUUCCACAUCUGUCCACAUUUAAUACUACUAGAUUAAAUGUUAAUGGUAUGCCUUGCACAGAGAAAAUUAAUGAGUGAUGUGGGUCUGCUGUGUUUGUUCCAGGCAUAAUUAUUCUGUAAUACAAUAUUUAUUGGUUCAAGUACUUAUUUAUCGAUAAAAUUACUUCUGUAUUUAUGAAUUUUUAUUUUGGCAGGGAAGAUUUUAUGGUAAACACAAAAGUUUGUUAUUGUUUUAUAGAUAUUUGAUUAAUCUUGUUUUAACAUAUUUCAUACCAGGUGUCCAACUUUAAGUCAUAAAGAUUUACAAACGUUUUGGAAUCAAAUGUUUAUCCUUUGCACAAGCCCUUAAUUUAAAGUAGAAAGUCCAGUCUAUAAGGCAUGGGGGAAAAUAAACAUUACUAAUCUAUAGCACACAACUCUUUGACCAGCAUCUAAGUAAACCACAAUAAGAGUUUUCUAGGAAAUGUAUGCAGAGAGUGAAUAAAUCAAAUCUGACCAAAAGAGAAACAUAUUAGAGUCAGUUACUUCACAUUAACUCUUUCCACACAGCCAGGUCAAAAUGCACAUAUCAUGACCUUUUGAAGUGUUACAUUCAAAAUUUAAUUAAACAACAUUAUUAUUAGUGUAUUUCAAUAAAUCUGGCAUGAAAACAUACUGUUUGAAAUAUUUAUAUUAUUUAAAUUUUAUCUUCUUAAUUUCAAAAUCUCGGUCUUAAUUUUCUGUGUCAUGUGACACAUCUGACCUCUAAUUUCUCCACUUCAGAAUUUUCUUAUUUUUAAGAUAGGCUGAUGGAGUUUCCAACCAAUUAGAAACACAAUGUAUGCACAAUUAUAAGCAAGAAUAUAAAAUUUGAACAUCCUGCCUUCUUGAUUUGCUGAGAUAUCAAAAAGAUUUUCCAACCCACCAGAGAAGCACCCCCUCAUCUCUUUCUGACUUUUGACAUUGUUUGUUAAUAAACUGUUCAUGGCUGAUGGAUGAGUUUAUAACAAAGAGAAAGAAAAUAUUAUUCUUUACUUAACUUUUUUAAUUUGCAUGCCAUAAACUGUUAGCAGAAAUGCUUGGUCUGUAAUGAUCAUAUUUUGCUGCUCCAAACACAAAAGGAUUUUUAUCCUAUUUAUAGCAUACUGAAAAAUGUAGAUAAAUUAUAGACCAUAAGAUAGUAGUGCAUCAAAGAAUUAAAUGUACAGAAUAAAAAGCAUUUAGUAGUAUUUUAAUUUUUUACAUUUAUGUAGAGUUGGGCAUGAUUUGUGGUGAGUGUGCCAGACUAUGGAUGUGAGGGUUCAUGGUCUGCAUUUUGGGACCACAAGUGCAUAAUAAGAGAAAUGACCAAAUCUCACUUGUUGAUUAGCCAAAGAAUUGGCAAUGGGUGCUAUUGGUUAGCUGCUUUCUAUCAGUUCAGAAUUAAGGAUAGCCCUUGUGUAGUUUUGCACAAAUAUUAAAAAUUGAUUGAAAAAUCAGCAAGUUAAAGAAGAUUAGCAUAUUGACAAUGAACAAAUCUUGUGCUCUAACUUUGCUAUAUUCUUUUUUUCAGGCUGAAUUAGAUUCUGCUAUCAAAAAGGAUAUAGGAUUGGCUAGGGUAUUAAAAAAGUAACUAUUGUAUAUUUCUCACCUAAUAUAAAAUUGUCUAAGAUGUAUAAUUUUGUUCAGUUUCAGAAGUGAAUAAAUAUACUGUAAAAUAAUAUUUUUGUAAUGACAUUACACCAUAAGUCAUUUAUUUAUUGUAGCUAAUAGUAGUGUUUUUCAGAUCCAAAUCUGUAUAGAUAGAAGUAAAACAACAUAGGCAAUAUGGCAGGAUUAAUUUCCUUAUUAAUGACAUAAAUUUUUGUUUUCUUUA
Long non-coding RNA from Limulus polyphemus (Atlantic horseshoe crab), 2984 nucleotides. RefSeq lists it as uncharacterized. The transcript is spliced from 3 exons. The record is from RefSeq and is a predicted model, not a curated record. Lineage: Eukaryota; Metazoa; Arthropoda; Merostomata; Xiphosura; Limulidae.